RNAcentral lists this ribosomal RNA (301 nucleotides) under uncultured bacterium. RNAcentral's name for it is "partial 16S ribosomal RNA". It matches the Rfam family "Bacterial small subunit ribosomal RNA", at positions 509 to 809 of the family's 1533-position model. The record is from RNAcentral.
CAGUCGCCGCGGUAAUACGGAGGAUCCAAGCGUUAUCCGGAAUCAUUGGGUUUAAAGGGUCCGUAGGCGGUCUUGUAAGUCAGUGGUGAAAGCCCAUCGCUCAACGGUGGAACGGCCAUUGAUACUGCAGGACUUGAAUUAUUGGGAAGUAACUAGAAUAUGUAGUGUAGCGGUGAAAUGCUUAGAGAUUACAUGGAAUACCAAUUGCGAAGGCAGGUUACUACCAAUUGAUUGACGCUGAUGGACGAAAGCGUGGGUAGCGAACAGGAUUAGAUACCCCUGUAGUCCCUGUCUCUUAUAU